UCAGGAUGAACGCUGGCGGCGUGCCUAACACAUGCAAGUCGAGCGGGAGUUUCCUAGAUUGAAGCUUCGGUAGAUUGAAGGAAAUGAGAGCGGCGGACGGGUGAGUAACGCGUAGGCAACCUGCCCUUUGCAGAGGGAUAGCCAUUGGAAACGAUGAUUAAAACCUCAUAAUACCACCUGGUGACAUCACCGGAUGGUCAAAGAUUUAUCGGCAAAGGAUGGACCCGCGUCUGAUUAGCUAGUUGGUGGGGUAACGGCCUACCAAGGCAACGAUCAGUAGCCGGCCUGAGAGGGUGAACGGCCACAUUGGGACUGAGACACGGCCCAAACUCCUACGGGAGGCAGCAGUGGGGAAUAUUGCACAAUGGGGGAAACCCUGAUGCAGCGACGCCGCGUGAGUGAAGAAGUAUUUCGGUAUGUAAAGCUCUAUCAGCAGGGAAGAAAAUGACGGUACCUGACUAAGAAGCACCGGCUAAAUACGUG
RNAcentral lists this ribosomal RNA (483 nucleotides) under uncultured bacterium. RNAcentral describes it as "bacterial SSU rRNA". It matches the Rfam family "Bacterial small subunit ribosomal RNA", at positions 24 to 507 of the family's 1533-position model. The record is from RNAcentral.